Molecule: ribosomal RNA, 549 nt
Filed under: uncultured marine bacterium
Lineage: Bacteria
Description: bacterial SSU rRNA
Rfam family: Bacterial small subunit ribosomal RNA
Source: RNAcentral
UGGGGAAUAUUGGACAAUGGGGGCAACCCUGAUCCAGCAAUACCGCGUGUGCGAAGAAGGCCUGAGGGUUGUAAAGCACUUUCAAUUGUGAAGAAAAGUUAACGGUUAAUAACCGUUAGCCUUGACGUUAACUUUAGAAGAAGCACCGGCUAACUCCGUGCCAGCAGCCGCGGUAAUACGGAGGGUGCAAGCGUUAAUCGAAAUUACUGGGCGUAAAGCGUGCGUAGGUGGUUUAUUAAGUCAGAUGUGAAAGCCCCGGGCUUAACCUGGGAACUGCAUUUGAAACUGGUAAACUAGAGUAUGGUAGAGGAAAGUGGAAUUUCUGGUGUAGCGGUGAAAUGCGUAGAUAUCAGAAGGAACAUCAAUGGCGAAGGCAGCUUUCUGGACCAAUACUGACACUGAGGUACGAAAGCGUGGGUAGCAAACAGGAUUAGAUACCCUGGUAGUCCACGCCGUAAACGAUGAUAACUAGCCGUUGGGGGGAUUUACCCUUUAGUGGCGAAGCUAGCGCGUUAAGUUAUCCGCCUGGGGAGUACGGCCGCAAGGUUA